AAUAANGGUUCCUUUCAACAAUAUUGCCUUGAAGAAACGGGUCCAGCAGUGUGUAAUGAUAUGGCAUCACGGUAUUAUGCGGAAUCAAUUAAUUCCAAAAAGUUUUUUUGUGGGAUAUCUUUAGAUAAAAAGAAAUAUGCUAUAAUGGGAGAAAAUACUCCAGAUGGGACGACUGGAAUUUAUCUUGUAAAAACUAAUAAUACUGCACCAUAUGCUAUGGAUUCUACUUGUAAUUCAACAAAAUGAACUAUAUAAUUAUGUAAUAUUUAAACAAAUAAAUAUAUUUUGUUUUGA
This is a non-coding RNA of Onthophagus taurus, 294 nucleotides long. NCBI's taxonomy places the organism in Eukaryota, Metazoa, Arthropoda, Insecta, Coleoptera, Scarabaeidae. The record is from RefSeq and is a predicted model, not a curated record.